Molecule: ribosomal RNA, 217 nt
Filed under: Staphylococcus sp. HMSC077G12
Lineage: Bacteria; Bacillati; Bacillota; Bacilli; Caryophanales; Staphylococcaceae
Description: partial 16S ribosomal RNA
Rfam family: Bacterial small subunit ribosomal RNA
Source: RNAcentral
ACGUUAGCGGCGGACGGGUGAGUAACACGUGGAUAACCUACCUAUAAGACUGGGAUAACUUCGGGAAACCGGAGCUAAUACCGGAUAAUAUAUUGAACCGCAUGGUUCAAUAGUGAAAGACGGUUUUGCUGUCACUUAUAGAUGGAUCCGCGCCGCAUUAGCUAGUUGGUAAGGUAACGGCUUACCAAGGCAACGAUGCGUAGCCGACCUGAGAGGG